CCUACGGGGGGCAGCAGUGGGGAAUAUUGGACAAUGGGGGCAACCCUGAUCCAGCCAUGCCGCGUGUGUGAAGAAGGCCCUCGGGUUGUAAAGCACUUUCAGUGAGGAAGAACGCCUGGUGGUUAAUACCCAUCAGGAAAGACAUCACUCACAGAAGAAGCACCGGCUAACUCCGUGCCAGCAGCCGCGGUAAUACGGAGGGUGCGAGCGUUAAUCGGAAUUACUGGGCGUAAAGCGCGCGUAGGUGGCUUGAUAAGCCGGUUGUGAAAGCCCCGGGCUCAACCUGGGAACGGCAUCCGGUACUGUCAAGCUAGAGUGCAGGAGAGGAAGGUAGAAUUCCCGGUGUAGCGGUGAAAUGCGUAGAGAUCGGGAGGAAUACCAGUGGCGAAGGCGGCUUUCUGGACUGACACUGACGCUGAGGUGCGAAAGCGUGGGUAGCAAACAGGAUUAGAUACCCUAGUAGUC
Molecule: ribosomal RNA, 465 nt
Filed under: Vreelandella stevensii
Lineage: Bacteria; Pseudomonadati; Pseudomonadota; Gammaproteobacteria; Oceanospirillales; Halomonadaceae
Description: partial 16S ribosomal RNA
Rfam family: Bacterial small subunit ribosomal RNA
Source: RNAcentral